Papaver somniferum (opium poppy) is the source of this 615-nucleotide long non-coding RNA. RefSeq lists it as uncharacterized. The record is from RefSeq and is a predicted model, not a curated record. The transcript is spliced from 3 exons. Lineage: Eukaryota; Viridiplantae; Streptophyta; Magnoliopsida; Ranunculales; Papaveraceae.
ACCAGCUGAACUCUUCUCGUGAAAUUUUUUGAUUCGAAUUUUUCCGGUUCAAUCUAUGCUUCCUAUAUUCAAAUUCAUCUUCUCCUCCAUCUUCUUCAUCAUCCUUGCAGCAAGAUUCAUCAACGGAAUCGUAUCCAGCUGAAGAUCUGCUCUGCUCGUGAAAUUUUUGAUUCGAAGUUUUUCAUUUCAAUUUAUGCUUCGGAGAUUGAAAUUCGUCUUCUCCUCCAUCUUCGAUCUUCAUCAUCCGUGCAGCUAGAUUCAUUCAUUGAAUCAGAGAUUUUACCUCUGUUUAACUGAAAUUUCCAUUAACAACAAAAAUUUGUACUCCGUUCAACUGGAUCUCUCUUUCUGAAACAAAUUGAGAUCGUGAUUUAUUUUGGAAGAUUGAUUUCAUCUAUUAAACGGGACAAAGAUGGUUGUUGCAGAGUUCAAAUUUUGCAAUCAGACCGUCUCUCAUCCUGUUUUAUUUUCAACUACUGUCAAGGAUAUGAUAAGUUUGGUGAAACAAAAGUGGCCAUAUGUUCCUGAAGACCUCAUACUUUUUGGUUACACUGUAGAUGUUACUUCAAAUGUCAUCAAUCACGAUUUGGAACUGAAGUUUUUCAUUCACUACUG